AUCUAUGGCCAUGCCAACCUGAACAAGCCUGAUGUCUGAUCUCAGAAGCUAAGCAAGGUCGGGCCUGGUUAGCACUUGGAUGAGAGACCACCUAGGAAGAUUAGGUGCUAUAGGCA
This 116-nucleotide ribosomal RNA is filed under the name Pteropus alecto (black flying fox). Lineage: Eukaryota; Metazoa; Chordata; Mammalia; Chiroptera; Pteropodidae. The record is from RNAcentral.